Camelina sativa (false flax) is the source of this 1539-nucleotide RNA transcript. RefSeq lists it as uncharacterized. Lineage: Eukaryota; Viridiplantae; Streptophyta; Magnoliopsida; Brassicales; Brassicaceae. The record is from RefSeq and is a predicted model, not a curated record.
ACCAAAAUCGUGAAAACCCUAGUCUCGACACAUGUGAAGAGUCGAUUGUGCUCUCUCAUCUGGUAGCGAUUCCGAACUCGAUUCCGGUGUUGAUUGCGACGGAGAUUUGGGUGGCGAUUCUGGGGGAGUUUUGGAUAGCGAUUUGGGUGGAUAUUUGUGUGGCUAUUCCGGUGUAGUUUUGGGUGGCGAUUCUGUUGCUUUCUUCUGGUAGCGAUUCCGGUGAAGAUUUCGGUUGCGUCGUUUGUCAACAAUUACAGUAAGAGACGAGAUGAUUAGAUUGUACUUAGAGUAUGUGGUUACCGGCGUCGUGAGACGGUCCGUCCGUUGUUGCUUCCCGGAAGGAUUUAGAUUCGUUUGCUUCCGAAUGAAUGUCGUCGUCCUCUGAGUGUCGUCGUCUCUUGGUUCGUUGCAGAGAGUCUUUGAUUAGUUGUGAAGAUUUGCAGUUUUUAUGCUCGUUUGUUUUAAUUGAGAUGUUCAGAAGUUUUACCAUCAAUGUGACCCUCUGUAGGAGUUCCUUUUGGGGUCUGGAUUUGGGAAGAAUUUGUGAUGGAAAAUGCAUUCGUUUUUGCUUCAUGAGCAUUUUUUGUUGGGCAAAGUUUUCUGCUCAGUUUUCUACAGAGUUUUCUGCUCAGUUUUCUACAGAGUUUUCUGCUUAGUGUUCUAUCUUAAUAUCCCUUGUACACAUGUUUGGUAAAGUUUACAUUAACGGUUAUGGUAGCUGCAACGUUCUAGCAUCUCAUUAGCUGUUGUUACAGUCUCUGUGGUACACCUCUAAACUUGAGACAUCUUGUUCUGUGAAAAAACUCUGUAGAAGUGAUUAUCAUUUUAUAUCGUUUACUUCAGUAGAGAGAGAAUUGUUGUGAAGCACUCCAGGCUGAAUCAAUUUUGCUGAUUUAUAUUAAAUUUAAUGUUUAUCUGAUCAGUGGUUACAAGCUAUAUCUACUUAUCUCGUUGUUCUCAAAUCCCUAGGGUGCUAUUAUGGCUGUUAGUUCUAGUUUAAAAUGCAGGUUCUUGUUUUGUCAAUAAUUGUAGGUUCUGUUUUUGGUUUUCAAAAUGCAGGCUCUGGUUUUUUAAAAACUGCAGGUUCUAGUUUAAAAUGCAGGUUCUGGUUUUGGUGUUUGAAAUGCAGGUUCUUGUUUUAAAGUUUCACGUUUUGGUUGUAGAUGAGCUCAGAACCAACUUCAACACUGGCAGAACAAAGAGCUAUGAAUGGAGAUUUUCUCAGCUUCAAAACAUUUCUAGGAUGCUUCGCAAUAAGGAGAAUUGCAUCACAGAAGCUUUGUAUCAAGAUCUUUCCAAGCCUGAGCUUGAAGCUUUUCUUGUCUACAUUCUAGUUGUCCGUUGUCGAAUUACUUUCAAGAGUGUGUGUCAAAUUUAAAUUUGAAACACUUGUCCCUGAACCUCAUUGGAGAUGACCUAACAGUUCUAAACAAACGUCUCAUGUUGUGUGCUUCUUAUCUCUCUAAGAACAAAUUAAAACAAUCUUCGUUGGGAUAUUGUUUUGUUUUGAAAUUUAUGAAAUUAUUAUUUUUAUCUUCA